CCUUGGCGAUAUCAUAAAAAGCUAUAACUCUACUGAUACUAUACAACUUUCAGGCUGAACAUGAAGGGGCUACUUGUACUGGCGAUUGUUUUGGUUUCGGCGUCCACGCUGAUUGAAGGUAGAGCGGCCGACCUUUCAAGCCGAGAUGCAGACUGCCAGCCCCCGAUGUGCCCCAUGUAUCUCCCAGCCUGUGUGGUAUACACCAAGGAUGCCAACGGCUGUAACACAUGUUACUGUGAUAUUCCCUUUUGAAACGGAAUAAAAUUCUCUUAAAUCUGCCAGUA
Molecule: long non-coding RNA, 284 nt
Filed under: Haliotis rubra (blacklip abalone)
Lineage: Eukaryota; Metazoa; Mollusca; Gastropoda; Lepetellida; Haliotidae
Description: uncharacterized LOC124263825, transcript variant X2
Source: RNAcentral